This 340-nucleotide unclassified non-coding RNA is filed under the name Leishmania donovani. RNAcentral's name for it is "gene:unknown". The record is from RNAcentral. Lineage: Eukaryota; Euglenozoa; Kinetoplastea; Trypanosomatida; Trypanosomatidae.
CCAUGUUGUACACAUAAGGCUUCUUCCUGCCCUUUUAUGCCUGUGCCUUCUUUUCUUCUUUCUUUGUGUUGUCGCGCCACACGAGCGACGGCAUCUUAACAUUAAAGGAAGCAGAGCGCCUCUUCGCGCUGCGUGCCCCUGCCCUCUGGCUCGGACAGCAGCCGCCUCCGCGUGUCUCUCUCUGUGUAUGUGUUGGUGCUGGUGAAUAGGCUGUGCGGAGGUAUCGUGGCGCACCCCUGCCGCCUUCGUAAACAGCGGUUACAUACCUGUACACAUACAAACACAUUGGACCAAUAAAAGAGCGUGAGAGCGAGCCUCGAGGUUCGAGAUUGUAGCGACG